RNAcentral lists this ribosomal RNA (2361 nucleotides) under Cladonia stygia. RNAcentral's name for it is "bacterial SSU rRNA". It matches the Rfam family "Eukaryotic small subunit ribosomal RNA". Lineage: Eukaryota; Fungi; Ascomycota; Lecanoromycetes; Lecanorales; Cladoniaceae. The record is from RNAcentral.
CAGUUAUCGUUCAUUUGAUAGUACCUUACUACUUGGAUACCUGUGGUAAUUCUAGAGCUAAUACAUGCUAAAAACCUCAACUUCGGAAGGGGUGUAUUUAUUAGAUAAAAAACCAAUGCCCUUCGGGGCUCCUUGGUGAUUCAUAAUAACUUCACGAAUCGCAUGGCCUUGAGCCGGCGAUGGUUCAUUCAAAUUUCUGCCCUAUCAACUUUCGAUGGUAGUAUAGAGGACUACCAUGGUUUCUACGGGUAACGGGGAAUUAGGGUUCUAUUCCGGAGAGGGAGCCUGAGAAACGGCUACCACAUCCAAGGAAGGCAGCAGGCGCGCAAAUUACCCAAUCCCGACACGGGGAGGUAGUGACAAUAAAUACUGAUCCAGGGCUCUUUUGGGUCUUGGAAUUGGAAUGAGUACAAUUUAAAUCCCUUAACGAGGAACAAUUGGAGGGCAAGUCUGGUGCCAGCAGCCGCGGUAAUUCCAGCUCCAAUAGCGUAUAUUAAAGUUGUUGCAGUUAAAAAGCUCGUAGUUGAAACUUGGGCCUGGCUGACCGGUCCGCCUCACCGCGUGCACUGGCUCGGCCGGGCCUUUCCUUCUGGGGAACCGCAUGGCCUUCAUUGGUCGUGUUGGGGAUCCAGGACUUUUACUUUGAAAAAAUUAGAGUGUUCAAAGCAGGCCUAUGCUCGAAUACAUUAGCAUGGAAUAAUAGAAUAGGACGUGUGGUUCUAUUUUGUUGGUUUCUAGGACCGCCGUAAUGAUUAAUAGGGAUAGUCGGGGGCAUCAGUAUUCAAUUGUCAGAGGUGAAAUUCUUGGAUUUAUUGAAGACUAACUACUGCGAAAGCAUUUGCCAAGGAUGUUUUCAUUAAUCAGUGAACGAAAGUUAGGGGAUCGAAGACGAUUGUAUUUGGUCGUCCAUAGUGAGCGCAGCAUCAUCUAGUUGGGGGCCUUCCCGGAGGGAAGUGCCCCUGGCCACAUCACCAAACUGAUGGGGCUCCCCCGCCGUUUCCGGUGGGCUGAAACCCACAGCCAAGCUCUUCGGAGUGCAGUCUACAGACUGAAUGUUGAUGGGCGGGCCUCGAAGGGCCUGUUUCUAAUAUAGCCGAGUCCCCUGGGAGUUUUCUUCUGGGGGUGUUUUACGCAGAUACCGUCGUAGUCUUAACCAUAAACUAUGCCGACUGGGGAUCGGACGGUGUUAUUAUUUUGACCCGUUCGGCACCCUACGAGAAAUCAAAGUCUUUGGGUUCUGGGGGGAGUAUGGUCGCAAGGCUGAAACUUAAAGAUAUUGACGGAAGGGCACCACCAGGAAGCUCAAACGCCUGGUUAUAAUAUAUUAUAUAGGGAAAAUAAUAGUGAUAUUAGCCCCCCGACCCCGGGGUGGUGAGGCCUUUGAAUUGCGUGGACUGUCUUAGCCGCUUCGGCGAGACGUACCCGCAGCCGACCCCUCAGACGAGGGGCUUCGGUCCACAGAUCAAGUGGUGGCCGGUGGUACCGUCAGGGGACCACUUAUGAUAUGAUCGACCCCUAAGCAACAAGCUUAGGGAUUCAGUGCGUGGAGCCUGCGGCUUAAUUUGACUCAACACGGGGAAACUCACCAGGUCCAGACACAAUAAGGAUUGACAGAUUGAGAGCUCUUUCUUGAUUUUGUGGGUGGUGGUGCAUGGCCGUUCUUAGUUGGUGGAGUGAUUUGUCUGCUUAAUUGCGAUAACGAACGAGACCUUAACCUGCUAAAUAGCCAGGUCAGCUUUGGCUGGCCGCCGGCUUCUUAGAGGGACUAUCGGCUCAAGCCGAUGGAAGUUUGAGGCAAUAACAGGUCUGUGAUGCCCUUAGAUGCUCUGGGCCGCACGCGCGCUACACUGACAGAGACAACGAGUUCAUCUCCUUGACCGGAAGGUUUGGGUAAUCUUGUUAAACUCUGUCGUGCUGGGGAUAGAGCAUUGCAAUUAUUGCUCUUCAACGAGGAAUGCCUAGUAAGCGCGAGUCAUCAGCUCGCGUUGAUUACGUCCCUGCCCUUUCCCACGAUUGCAAAUUGUAUAAGGGGCUGACAGAAAUUCUAAGCUGGGUUAUAUUGAUAAUGACCAGUUAAUGCCUUCUAAGUGCGUGGAAGCUCACCGAGUUACCCGCAGCCAAAUCCUUAGUUCGAAAGGAUGCAGUUCACAGACUAACUGAAGGCGGGCCCUCUUAUUCAAGAGAAGCCUAAAUUAUAGUCGAUCUACCCUGUCACCAGGGAUAGGAAAAUGUUGUACACACCGCCCGUCGCUACUACCGAUUGAAUGGCUCAGUGAGGCCUUCGGACUGGCCCAGAGAGGUCGGCAACGACCACUCCGGGCCGGAAAGUUGGUCAAACUUGGUCAUUUAGAGGAAGUAAAA